UUUAAAAAAAAAAAACAACAACAACAACAAUAAUAAUAAUAAUAAUAAUAAUAAUAAUAAUAAUAAUAAAAUAUUUCACUGGACCAUAAAAAUAAUAUUUGUUUAACUUUUAAUAAACUGUUGUUGUAGUUUUACAAUUCAAUCAAUACGACAUGCUUUCUGAUUGCAAGUUCAUUUAAACAUUAAAAUAGAAUCCUGAAAACAGAAAGCAUCUGAAAAAAAAUUCUUAGGGCCCAAUACAUAUGAAGACUUCUAAAUAAUGACAUUGAUAUAUCAACACUUAAAGUAUAUUUGGACUGAGCACGUUCUUUGGAAAUAAUGUACAGCAUGGCCAUAUAAAUAUUUUAUGUUUAAGCGCAUUCUUUCUAUAGAGUUUGUACAUAAAUCUCUGUAAAUGACUGUCAUUUUCCACAUUCCCAGCUGCAGGAUUGUUUAGUCUUGUUGUUGAGUUUCCCUGCUGUGAUAAGGAGCAGGGUAAACACGACCGGUGGGACCCGAUCGGGCUGCACUCACACUGGGCUGACAGCCGGCCGAGAACGCAGGCUGUGGGCCUCUCAACAACCACACGCAGGUCAGGAAACAUCUGGGUGACUGAAAGCAACAGAUGCCGUAGCCCGAUAAGGGAAGCACUCUCCACCCCACUGAACCGGCCUCUCACACGUCCAGUACAAGCAGGACCAGGCCUCCAGCUUAUCGAGAUUUGGGAAAAAGUAACAAGAAAGAGUGGACAGUCUUUGCCUAGUAGCUCUUUACAGCCAAGGUCGUGAUCCCCGGGCCUGUUAAAGACCCCCCUGGGGUUGAGGCUGCAACCGGAUAUUUAAAAUAACAGUGCGAGGGUCCUGCUGGAGCCCUGCGCUGCGUGAGGAGGGAGCAGGAGAGGUUAGGGGUCAAGACACUGGCCAACAUACAUCAGCAAGUGCCAGUGCAGAGCCAAUGACUCUAUCAAUGAAAGACAAAGAGAAGAAAUCCAGAGCAAAUGAGUACAAGAACAAUAAAACAAGCUGUUUAAAACA
Molecule: long non-coding RNA, 1013 nt
Organism: Cyprinus carpio (common carp)
Lineage: Eukaryota; Metazoa; Chordata; Actinopteri; Cypriniformes; Cyprinidae
Source: Ensembl